This is a long non-coding RNA of Trematomus bernacchii (emerald rockcod), 177 nucleotides long. RefSeq lists it as uncharacterized. Lineage: Eukaryota; Metazoa; Chordata; Actinopteri; Perciformes; Nototheniidae. The transcript is spliced from 3 exons. The record is from RefSeq and is a predicted model, not a curated record.
AACCUAAGAAGGAACCAAAGGAAAAAGUCAAACCUAAACCUGUAGAAAAAGACGCUGGACCCAAAAAGGCAGAAAAGGUGACUAAAGAAGUCAAAAAGGAGGUUACGUCUCUCUUGAAGAAGGACCAUCUUAAUGUUACCAAAGCAGAGGUUCCAGAAGAACCCAAACUGAAAGCCA